RNAcentral lists this ribosomal RNA (400 nucleotides) under uncultured bacterium. RNAcentral describes it as "bacterial SSU rRNA". It matches the Rfam family "Bacterial small subunit ribosomal RNA", at positions 29 to 421 of the family's 1533-position model. The record is from RNAcentral.
AUUGAACGCUGGCGGCAUGCCUUACACAUGCAAGUCGAACGGCAGCACGGGGGCAACCCUGGUGGCGAGUGGCGAACGGGUGAGUAAUGCAUCGGAACGUGUCCUCUUGUGGGGAUAACCAGUCGAAAGAUUGGCUAAUACCGCAUGAGAUCGAGAGAUGAAAGCGGGGGACCCGAGGGUAACUUCGGGCCUCGCGCGAGAGGAGCGGCCGAUGCCGGAUUAGCUAGUUGGUGGGGUAAGAGCCUACCAAGGCGACGAUCCGUAGCUGGUCUGAGAGGACGACCAGCCACACUGGGACUGAGACACGGCCCAGACUCCUACGGGAGGCAGCAGUGGGGAAUUUUGGACAAUGGGCGAAAGCCUGACGCAGCGACGCCGCGUGGGGGAUGAAGGUCUUCGG